Molecule: ribosomal RNA, 520 nt
Filed under: uncultured Glomus
Lineage: Eukaryota; Fungi; Glomeromycota; Glomeromycetes; Glomerales; Glomeraceae
Description: SSU rRNA
Rfam family: Eukaryotic small subunit ribosomal RNA
Source: RNAcentral
AGCAGCCGCGGUAAUUCCAGCUCCAAUAGCGUAUAUUAAAGUUGUUGCAGUUAAAAAGCUCGUAGUUGAAUUUCGGGGUCAGUAGGCUGGUCGUGCCACGGGUAUGUACUGGUCUUACUGAUUCCUCCUUCCUGAUGAACCGUAAUGCCAUUAAUUUGGUGUUGCGGGGAAUCUGGACUGUUACUUUGAAAAAAUUGAGUGUUUAAAGCAGGCUAACGCUUGAAUACAUUAGCAUAGAAUAAUGAAAUAGGACGAUCGAUCCUAUUUUGUUGGUUUCUAGGAUUGACGUAAUGAUUAAUAGGGAUAGUUGGGGGCAUUAGUAUUCAAUUGCGGAGGUGAAACCCUUGGAUUUAUUGAAGACUAACUACUGCGAAAGCAUUUGCCAAGGAUGUUUUCAUUAAUCGAGAACGAAAGUUAAGGGAUCGAAGACGAUCAGAUACCGUCGUAGUCUUAACCUAUAAACUAUAGCCGACUAGGGAUCGGAUGAUGUUAAUUUUUAAUGUACUCUAUUCGGCNCCGU